ACAUAGCGACUAUCGUGGCAUAUCAAUAAGCGGAGGAAAAGAAACUAACUAGGAUUCCCUUAGUAACGGCGAGUGAAGCGGGAAGAGCUCAAAUUUGAAAUCUUCAAGGUUCUACCUUGACGAAUUGUAGUUUAAAGAAGUGUUUUCUGUUGGAGUUUUGGUAAAAGUUCUUUGGAAUAGGACAUCAUAGAGGGUGAGAAUCCCGUAUUUGACCAUUAUCUUCCAGCUGUGUGAUACACUUUCAAAGAGUCGGAUUGUUUGGGAAUGCAGUCCAAAAUGGGUGGUAAAUUUCAUCUAAAGCUAAAUAUUGGCGAGAGACCGAUAGCGAACAAGUACCGUGAGGGAAAGAUGAAAAGAACUUUGAAAAGAGAGUCAAACAGUACGUGAAAUUGUCAAAAGGGAAGCGUUUGACACCAGUGUUGUUUUCUCGAAAAUCAAUUAAAAAUGGCCGGAUUUUGUGUUGUAUUGACCUUAAUCAAGCUUUCUUCACUCUUUUCUUGUCUUUUUUAAUGCACUUUUCGUUUAACAAGUCAACAUCAGGUUUCUUUUGUUGUAAAAGAGUCAUUGGAAGGUGGCUUUCAUUUCGGAUGAAAGUGUUUAUAGCCUUUGAUCUUCUGCAAUCGGAGAGAUUGAGGUCUGCAGCGUAGAUCCUUCGGGGUUAGAUACAUUUGUGCUAAGUUAUAGUUUUUCAUAGACAACAUGUUGACUAUGAUUAAUCAUGUAGCUUACUCGCUUAUGCUAUUUUACCUACGCUUAGGAUGUUGACGAGACUGUCGAUCUC
This 781-nucleotide ribosomal RNA is filed under the name uncultured Neocallimastigales. RNAcentral's name for it is "partial large subunit ribosomal RNA". It matches the Rfam family "Eukaryotic large subunit ribosomal RNA", at positions 22 to 646 of the family's 3401-position model. Lineage: Eukaryota; Fungi; Neocallimastigomycota; Neocallimastigomycetes; Neocallimastigales. The record is from RNAcentral.